UAUCAGCCUGGAUAGGUUACUGGCAGGUCACCGUCCACUGGUCAAGCCAGAAGUCAUGCAGAUGACAAGCAAUGGUGGGUUCAUUUAACAUCGAUAUCACAACUAUCCUGGGAAAGGCGUCACCAACAGCCAAAUUCCAAAGAAUACACUGAUUGGUUCUGAUUAAGAUAUGUAGGAGCUAUGGAUGUCAGUGGAUGUUGUAUACUUGGAUUUCCAGGAGGCCUUUGACACAAGAUGCUGCUUAACAAGGCUCUUACUGACUGGAGUUGGAAAGACUCUGCUGCAUUGUCAGCUUCAUUUUGACCCCAAGAAUUCUUCCUGUGGUAUCAGUUAUGAACCCUCUAUUGAGAGAAAUCAUUCUAUGAAGAGGUUGCCUGUGAAUCAACACCUUCCAGAACCAUCACUUAAUGGAGAGUCAGCAGCUGUGGGAAAGCAAAAAUUGAUUAUAUCUGAAAAAUGGCCUCAAAAAGGUUUUUCCCACAAGGAAGAGAGAGAAGUAAUUGAAACAACAGCGGGUCUCUUUACCUGGAGAAUUGUGACACAACCAAGGAUGUCAUGGUUGGAGAAUUCAGCCAUAAGCCAUGCUGCAAUGGCAGUGCUCAGCUGUUCCUGCUAAUCAGAGUAUGAACAGUGUAUGGUGAUCUAAUCUCAUCAACUUUCUCCUGAUGCAAGUUUCACCACUGUCCCACUUCCAUAACCCAGAUGAUGCUUUUUGUGACCAAGUAUCAUCUGCUGUUGGAACUUCUCUUCAAGGGCAUAAGAAAGGAAGUCCUUGGAAUAACACACAAAAUGCUAAAGGAAUUCAAUGGGGCAGGAAGCAUCUAUAGAAGAAAAUGAACAGUCAUUGUUUGGGACCAAGACACUUCAACAGAACUAUUUAUUUUCCUCUAUAGAUGCUGUAUGACACAUAAGGUUCCUCUAGCAUUUUGUGCGUGGUGCUCCAGAUUUCAAGCAUCUGUAGUCUCUCUUGUGUCUCCAAGUCUUUGAAAUAUUUCAUUAUCCCUUUAUUUGACAUUAAACUUGCUCUGGUUUGAAGCCUUUAGUGGAUACACUGAGAACCAGAAGCCCAGCUAAAAAUCCUGUCAUUAACUCUUCUGUAUAAAACUACCCAGCAGCCACUUUCAUGU
Hypanus sabinus (Atlantic stingray) is the source of this 1127-nucleotide long non-coding RNA. RefSeq lists it as uncharacterized. The transcript is spliced from 3 exons. Lineage: Eukaryota; Metazoa; Chordata; Chondrichthyes; Myliobatiformes; Dasyatidae. The record is from RefSeq and is a predicted model, not a curated record.